RNAcentral lists this transfer RNA (83 nucleotides) under uncultured bacterium. RNAcentral describes it as "tRNA-Leu". It matches the Rfam family "tRNA". From Rfam's summary of the family: Transfer RNA (tRNA) molecules are approximately 80 nucleotides in length. Their secondary structure includes four short double-helical elements and three loops (D, anti-codon, and T loops). The record is from RNAcentral.
GCCCGUUUGGUGGAAUGGUAGACACAGCAGACUUAAGAUCUGCGGACCGCAAGGUCUUACUGGUUCAAGUCCAGUAUCGGGUA